ACCACUGUGUGUGGGCAUAGCCCACUGAAAUCUACAUGUAAAGAAUCUCUACAAAUUAUUUCAUUUCACAGUCAGGGGUAGGAACUGUCUCUUGACUCUAAAGCUUUGUCGCUCUUCUUAAAAUCGACAGUGAGGAAUGAAGACUGUUUUCUUUUGAGAUGCAAUGUCUAGAUUGACCUUUUCCUUUUUCUUUUGUUUUCUUUCAGUUGAUGGCCCUAAAAUGGAAAACUUAGCUGAAAUGAAGAGAUUAUGAAUCUUUCCAAAGUAGGGUAGCCUGGGCAUAAAAUAGAAAUAAGGAACAGUACAAUUGACCACUAGUGGUGACUCAAAUAAAUUAUGAAGAACUGGGAGAGCUUAUCACUGCCAGCCUCCAUAGGAUGUUGGAAAUAUCUGGCACAUGGAAAAGGGAAACUGGCGGCUGAGGCUCCUGGGGAUCGUGACUGGUUCUGGACAUGACUGGCUGUGGCAGAACUGAGUGGCACUCAGUGGAUUUUAGCAAAGCAUCAGAAUCCUCUGGGGAGUUCUUGCAAACUGCACAGGCUGCAGAUCACAACCUGUCCUUGGGUGCAUUUUCUGAUCAGAACCUGAAGUGACAAUACUGUGUGCUGCUGAUCAAAGGAAGUGUCACAUGCACAGAGGAUGCAUUGGCUGGAGAAGACACUGAGUGGAGGAAAUUCCACUUUGUAUUUUGCUCAGGCUGAAAGGAGGAAUACAAGGCUUUCUGCUGACAUCUUUGCAUAUUUUCAGUGCAUUUGACCUUGGAAGUACCUGAAGAAUGAUGACUGCAUCUUCAGUAGUGGAGAUUAUUUAUAGGACUCAGAAGCAAGAGGUCACAGAGAACAUACUUUCCCUACUUUCAUUCUUGCAAAAGCUACACCUUUAUUUAUAAUACUGUAAUGAGUUUUUCAUACCAACAGACAAAAGAUUUCUAACACUUCCUGGAACUUCAAAAACAGAAAAAGAACAAAUCAACCAAAUUUCUUUUGUUACCCCAGUAUUGAACAAAACCAGUCUUAAAGAAUAAUUGGUGAAUAAACCAAUAUUAGUGCCACUAUCUUUUAUCUCCUUCACAUCCAGACUAACCCUAUAGAAUUCUUGGAACACACAAAAAGUUACUUGAAAAGAUAAAUCUGCUUUGGAAAACAUUAGUGUUUUAAAGAGAGGUGGCAUUUAUGGAAGUACCAUAUGGACAUCUAUCACUAUAAGUCAUGAUAAUUGUCAGUGAGCAUGUCAUAAUGGUUAAAUAACUUCAUCCAUGGUUUUAUUCUUGAGGUCUGCCUUUGUCCUCCCACCUGAUA
Non-coding RNA from Castor canadensis (American beaver), 1298 nucleotides. NCBI's taxonomy places the organism in Eukaryota, Metazoa, Chordata, Mammalia, Rodentia, Castoridae. The record is from RefSeq and is a predicted model, not a curated record.